UGGUUCAGCCGGUAUUCCGGCUGCUAAGAGGGAAUCAGGUGAUAAUCCUGAACGAGCCCGUCGCUGUAAUGGAUUAGUCCGCUAAGUGCCAAGUGCCGGUAAAAAGUCACUGGAGCAGCUCUGCUCUGGGAAGACAGAUGCGGACGUCAUAUCUUGAGUCAGAAGACCUGCCUUAUGUUAA
This 181-nucleotide non-coding RNA is filed under the name human gut metagenome. The record is from RNAcentral.